Molecule: ribosomal RNA, 250 nt
Filed under: Enterobacter hormaechei
Lineage: Bacteria; Pseudomonadati; Pseudomonadota; Gammaproteobacteria; Enterobacterales; Enterobacteriaceae
Description: partial 23S ribosomal RNA
Rfam family: Bacterial large subunit ribosomal RNA
Source: RNAcentral
CCGAGAUUCCCCCAGUAGCGGCGAGCGAACGGGGAGCAGCCCGGAGUCUGAAUCAGCUUGUGUGUUAGUGGAACGGUCUGGAAAGUCCGACGGUACAGGGUGAUAGUCCCGUACACGAAAAUGCACAUGCUGUGAACUCGAAGAGUAGGGCGGGACACGUGGUAUCCUGUCUGAAUAUGGGGGGACCAUCCUCCAAGGCUAAAUACUCCUGACUGACCGAUAGUGAACCAGUACCGUGAGGGAAAGGCGA